UAGAUACCCUAUUAUAGAAAAUGUAUUUAUUUAUUUAAAGUAGUAAUAGAUAUGAUCUUGAAACUUAAAAAAUUUGGCGGUAUUUUAGUCUAUUCAGAGGAACUUGUUUUAUAAUCGAUAAUCCUCGUUGAACCUUACUUAAAAUAGUAUUCAGUUUAUAUACCGUUGUUAUAGAAUAUUUUAUAAGAAUAAUAAUUUUCAAUAAAUUAAAUUAAAUUGUAUAUCAAAUCAAGGUGUAGCUUAUAUUUAAGAAAAAAUGAGUUACAAUAAAAAUAUUUAAAUGAAUAUAAAUAUGAAAAAUUUAUUGAAAGUGGAUUUGAAAGUAAAUUUAUUAAGAUUAAUAAAUUGAUUUAAGCUCUAAAAUAUGCACACAUCGCCG
This 379-nucleotide ribosomal RNA is filed under the name Syringogaster brunnea. Its description in RNAcentral is "partial 12S ribosomal RNA". The record is from RNAcentral. Lineage: Eukaryota; Metazoa; Arthropoda; Insecta; Diptera; Syringogastridae.